AUGACAAAGCCGAAGGGAAAUGGAGGUAUUCAAUUCCGCAAUAUGCACUAUUUCAACCAAGCCCUUCUGACUAGACAAUAUUGGAGAUUGAUUCAAACACCGGAGAGCUUAUGUGCAAGAGUUCUAAAAUCCAAAUAUUAUCCAAAGGGAAGGCUGCUGGAUGCAGUGUUCUCCUCAGAUGCCUCGCCGGUUUGUAGAGGAAUUGAAUUUGGUCUUGAAUUACACAAGAAGUGA
Molecule: ribosomal RNA, 234 nt
Filed under: Triticum aestivum (bread wheat)
Lineage: Eukaryota; Viridiplantae; Streptophyta; Magnoliopsida; Poales; Poaceae
Description: partial small subunit ribosomal RNA
Source: RNAcentral